UAAGACGUAGGGUGCAAGCGUUAAUCGGAAUUACUGGGCGUAAAGCGUGCGCAGGCGGUUUUGUAAGACAGGCGUGAAAUCCCCGGGCUUAACCUGGGAACUGCGCUUGUGACUGCAAGACUAGAGUGUGUCAGAGGGAGGUGGAAUUCCGCGUGUAGCAGUGAAAUGCGUAGAGAUGCGGAGGAACACCGAUGGCGAAGGCAGCCUCCUGGGAUAACACUGACGCUCAUGCACGAAAGCGUGGGGAGCAAACAGG
Molecule: ribosomal RNA, 256 nt
Filed under: uncultured bacterium
Lineage: Bacteria
Description: partial 16S ribosomal RNA
Rfam family: Bacterial small subunit ribosomal RNA
Source: RNAcentral